UAAGGAAUUGAUGAGAAUUGAAUGAAGAUCAAAUAUUCAUCUCAAAAAUGCUGCUUUUACAAAAGCAGAAUAAAAAAGCGAAAUGAAAUGCAAAUGA
Non-coding RNA from Oryctolagus cuniculus (rabbit), 97 nucleotides. Lineage: Eukaryota; Metazoa; Chordata; Mammalia; Lagomorpha; Leporidae. The record is from Rfam.